GACGUAGGAUGCAAGCGUUGUCCGGAUUUAUUGGGCGUAAAGAGUUCGUAGGCGGUUCGUUAAGUCUGAUGUUAAAGAUCAAGGCUCAACCUUGGGAGUGCAUUGGAUACUGGCGGACUGGAGUAUGGUAGAGGCGAGUGGAAUUCCCAGUGUAGCGGUGAAAUGCGUAGAUAUUGGGAAGAACACCGGUGGCGCAAGCGACUCGCUGGGCCAUUACUGACGCUGAGGAACGAAAGCUAGGGGAGCGAAUGGG
Molecule: ribosomal RNA, 253 nt
Filed under: uncultured bacterium
Lineage: Bacteria
Description: partial 16S ribosomal RNA
Rfam family: Bacterial small subunit ribosomal RNA
Source: RNAcentral